UGCCAGACUCCUACGGGAGGCAGCAGUGGGGAAUAUUGCACAAUGGGGGAAACCCUGAUGCAGCGACGCCGCGUGAGUGAAGAAGUAUUUCGGUAUGUAAAGCUCUAUCAGCAGGGAAGAAAAUGACGGUACCUGACUAAGAAGCCCCGGCUAACUACGUGCCAGCAGCCGCGGUAAUACGUAGGGGGCAAGCGUUAUCCGGAUUUACUGGGUGUAAAGGGAGCGUAGACGGCGGCGCAAGCCAGAUGUGAAAGCCCGGGGCUCAACUCCGGGACUGCAUUUGGAACUGUGUGGCUGGAGUGUCGGAGAGGCAGGCGGAAUUCCUAGUGUAGCGGUGAAAUGCGUAGAUAUUAGGAGGAACACCAGUGGCGAAGGCGGCCUGCUGGACGAUGACUGACGUUGAGGCUCGAAAGCGUGGGGAGCAAACAGGAUUAGAUACCCGCGUAAAC
This 449-nucleotide ribosomal RNA is filed under the name uncultured bacterium. Its description in RNAcentral is "bacterial SSU rRNA". It matches the Rfam family "Bacterial small subunit ribosomal RNA", at positions 329 to 795 of the family's 1533-position model. The record is from RNAcentral.